This 492-nucleotide ribosomal RNA is filed under the name uncultured bacterium. RNAcentral's name for it is "partial 16S ribosomal RNA". It matches the Rfam family "Bacterial small subunit ribosomal RNA", at positions 29 to 507 of the family's 1533-position model. The record is from RNAcentral.
AGUGAACGCUGGCGGUAGGCCUAACACAUGCAAGUCGAACGGCAGCACAGUAAGAGCUUGCUCUUACGGGUGGCGAGUGGCGGACGGGUGAGGAAUACAUCGGAAUCUACUUUUUCGUGGGGGAUAACGUAGGGAAACUUACGCUAAUACAGCAUACGACCUACGGGUGAAAGCAGGGGAUCUUCGGACCUUGCGCGAUUGAAUGAGCCGAUGUCGGAUUAGCUAGUUGGCGGGGUAAAGGCCCACCAAGGCGACGAUCCGUAGCUGGUCUGAGAGGAUGGUCAGCCACACGGGAACUGAGACACGGUCCAGACUCCUACGGGAGGCAGCAGUGGGGAAUAUUGGACAAUGGGGGCAAGCCUGAUCCAGCCAUACCGCGUGGGUGAAGAAGGCCUUCGGGUUGUAAAGCCCUUUUGUUGGGAAAGAAAAGCAGCAGGUUAAUACCCCGCUGUUCUGACGGUACCCAAAGAAUAAGCACCGGCUAACUUCGUG